This 305-nucleotide ribosomal RNA is filed under the name uncultured bacterium. RNAcentral's name for it is "bacterial SSU rRNA". It matches the Rfam family "Bacterial small subunit ribosomal RNA", at positions 335 to 658 of the family's 1533-position model. The record is from RNAcentral.
UACCUACGGGGGGCAGCAGUGGGGAAUAUUGCACAAUGGGGGAAACCCUGAUGCAGCGACGCCGCGUGAGUGAAGAAGUAUUUCGGUAUGUAAAGCUCUAUCAGCAGGGAAGAUAAUGACGGUACCUGACUAAGAAGCCCCGGCUAACUACGUGCCAGCAGCCGCGGUAAUACGUAGGGGGCAAGCGUUAUCCGGAUUUACUGGGUGUAAAGGGUGCGUAGGCGGGUAAGCAAGUCAGAAGUGAAAUCCAUGGGAUUAACCCAUGAACUGCUUUUGAAACUGUUUAUCUUGAGUGAAGAAGAGGG